GAGAAAUCAACCCAGCCAAAGAACAGACAGACUCUCAGAGGAGACUGGAGGCAAAGCAGUAACUUAGAUACUGACAUUGAAAUGGUUGGCUGCAUGCUUGACCCUGUGGAUUCAAGUGGUUCCAGUCACUUCAAGAGAGAGGUCUUUCCAUACUGCUGUCUAUGAAGAUGAGAAAAAAGAACAUCCAGAUGAGCACACUGAAGCCACAACAUCCAUUUUCUAAUACUCCUGGU
Molecule: long non-coding RNA, 233 nt
Organism: Peromyscus leucopus (white-footed mouse)
Lineage: Eukaryota; Metazoa; Chordata; Mammalia; Rodentia; Cricetidae
Exons: 3
Source: RefSeq, a predicted model, not a curated record